ACUGAAGGCUGCACUAUCAGCUUUCCUACUUUUGAGGUGUGGGGAUUUGGAUUGACUUUCUGCUGCUUGUGGACAGCCUAUUCUGGGACCUCACCUUGCAAUCAUCAUCUGUUCUGUUUGUACAGAAAGCGAACUUCUGGUAGCUGGAAUCUGUCUCCAUUUGGCCCAUGGAUUCAAGAAUGAUAACUUUUCCCCUUAGGGUGAACAGGAUGUGGCAGCGGAGUUCAGUAGCAGAGUGGAGUGACUACAGAAGAGCACAAAGAAACUUUCGGGGUGAUAGGCAGAUGGAUCCUGAUUACAGUAUUACAGCAGGUUUGCCUUGCUUAAAUAAGUCAGAACUCUUGGAGAACACGACAGAAGUGUAUGGAAGGUUCAAUGUGGUUCCAUCACCAUAUCACUGUAAUAACAUCUAUGCAUGAUACCCUCUCUUUCUUAUUGGUGACUUUUUGACAUUGUUACCAGUGGAAAGUGUCCAAGUUCUUGGCAUCUUGAACAAAGAACUGGACAAAAUGCACCAAGAAAGCUAAGAAAGAAUAAAACAAGAAAACCGGAGAUUUAUUGAAAAUAAAAGUAUACUUCACAGGGUAGGAGCAGGCCUUAGUAUGGAGGCUCAAGAUCACUGUUACAGGAUUUU
Molecule: long non-coding RNA, 634 nt
Organism: Callithrix jacchus (white-tufted-ear marmoset)
Lineage: Eukaryota; Metazoa; Chordata; Mammalia; Primates; Cebidae
Source: RefSeq, a predicted model, not a curated record